Molecule: unclassified non-coding RNA, 399 nt
Filed under: uncultured Glomus
Lineage: Eukaryota; Fungi; Glomeromycota; Glomeromycetes; Glomerales; Glomeraceae
Description: SSU rRNA
Rfam family: Eukaryotic small subunit ribosomal RNA
Source: RNAcentral
AGCAGCCGCGGUAAUUCCAGCUCCAAUAGCGUAUAUUAAAGUUGUUGCAGUUAAAAGCUCGUAGUUGAAUUUCGGGAUCAAUUAGUCGGUCGUGCCUCUGGUACGUACUGGUUUUAUUGGUUCCUCCCUUCUGACGAAACAUGAUGUCAUUAAUUUGGUGUCGUGGAGAAUCAGGACUGUUACCUUGAAAAAUUAGAGUGUUUAUAGCAGGCUAACGCUUGAAUACAUUAGCAUGGAAUAAUGAAAUAGGACGUUCGACCCUAUUUUGUUGGUUUCUAGGAUCGACGUAAUGAUUAAUAGGGAUAGUUGGGGGCAUUAGUAUUCAAUUGUCAGAGGUGAAAUUCUUGGAUUUAUUGAAGACUAACUACUGCGAAAGCAUUUGCCAAGGAUGUUUUCAUU